CACGGCUCCGGUCCUCCAGCGCGUCCCGAUUCUCUCGAGCGGAGACAGCCUGGGUCGUCCCGCGGGUCAAUGGCCACGCCUCCUCUCGGCCGGGAGGACGGCGUGGGGCGUGGUUUGGGCGGGACUCUGCGGUAACGGGCGUCGGGCUCGACCAACGAAUGCACAGAUUAUAAUCUUCAAAGAGACAAGACUGUGGUGUCCCCAGAGCCUAACGCAGUGACUGACACAUGGAAGGCACUAGGAACUGCACCCAGGACCCUGUGCAUGUUAAGCACAUACUCUACCACUGAGCUAUACCUUUCCCCCUUGAAAAUUUUUAUGUAAAAAAGUUUACUAAAUAUAUAUGUAAAUAAAAGGAUACC
Molecule: long non-coding RNA, 362 nt
Organism: Camelus dromedarius (Arabian camel)
Lineage: Eukaryota; Metazoa; Chordata; Mammalia; Artiodactyla; Camelidae
Exons: 3
Source: RefSeq, a predicted model, not a curated record